UGAGAGGUUUCCAUUCCUCUAUCCUCUUUGGCUUGUGGUUGGAUCCCCUUACCUUGUGGCAGCCUUGGUUGAUUCCAUAUUGGUGCAAGUUAGGGAUGGCAACUGUGGCUGAUCUCACAUCAAAUUCUGCAGCCUCUUGGUUUAGGGCUGCCUGCUUUUGGAGUGUUGUGGCGGUGGAAAUCGAGAAGAUGUGGAGGAAGACAAGAGAUGAGAUUUACUACAUCAUUCACUUGUCCUAUUGCUAAGUUUAGUAAUUGUUUAAACAUUAGGCUUGGCAUAGCUCUUGACCAAGGCCCAAUUUAGCCACUAGCUUGAUGUUGGCUCCUUUCAAAGCUUAGAGUAGGAUUAGUUGUCACUUGUUCUUUAUUGUAGUAAGGGUCCCCACAAACAAAUGUAUCACUCUCUUGUAUUUCUAUUUUUCCAACAAUUUGUAAUUCAAAACUUAAAUUUCCUUGCA
Long non-coding RNA from Salvia splendens (bonfire salvia), 457 nucleotides. RefSeq lists it as uncharacterized. Lineage: Eukaryota; Viridiplantae; Streptophyta; Magnoliopsida; Lamiales; Lamiaceae. The record is from RefSeq and is a predicted model, not a curated record. The transcript is spliced from 2 exons.